CAUGCCGCGUGCAGGAAGAAUGCCCUAUGGGUUGUAAACUGCUUUUAUUUAGGAAGAAUCCCCACUACGUGUAGUGGGUUGACGGUACUAAACGAAUAAGGACCGGCUAACUCCGUGCCAGCAGCCGCGGUAAUACGGAGGGUCCAAGCGUUAUCCGGAAUUAUUGGGUUUAAAGGGUCCGCAGGCGGACUAGUAAGUCAGUGGUGAAAUCUCUCAGCUUAACUGGGAAACUGCCAUUGAUACUGUUAGUCUUGAAUUCGGUCGAAGUGGGCGGAAUGUGUCAUGUAGCGGUGAAAUGCAUAGAUAUGACACAGAACACCGAUAGCGAAGGCAGCUCACUAGGCCUGAAUUGACGCUCAGGGACGAAAGCGUGGGUAGCGAACAGGAUUAGAUACCCUGGUAGUCCACGCCGUAAACGAUGAUUACUCGAUAUCAGCGAUAUACUGUUGGUGUCUAAGCGAAAGUGAUAAGUAAUCCACCUGGGGAGUACGAUCGCAAGGUUGAAACUCAAA
RNAcentral lists this ribosomal RNA (512 nucleotides) under uncultured bacterium. RNAcentral describes it as "bacterial SSU rRNA". It matches the Rfam family "Bacterial small subunit ribosomal RNA", at positions 393 to 905 of the family's 1533-position model. The record is from RNAcentral.